RNAcentral lists this ribosomal RNA (254 nucleotides) under uncultured bacterium. RNAcentral's name for it is "partial 16S ribosomal RNA". It matches the Rfam family "Bacterial small subunit ribosomal RNA", at positions 524 to 776 of the family's 1533-position model. The record is from RNAcentral.
UACGUAGGGUGCAAGCGUUGUCCGGAAUUAUUGGGCGUAAAGAGCUCGUAGGCGGUCUGUCGCGUCGGCUGUGAAAUCCCGAGGCUCAACCUCGGGUCUGCAGUCGAUACGGGCAAACUAGAGUAUUGCAGGGGAGACUGGAAUUCCUGGUGUAGCGGUGAAAUGCGCAGAUAUCAGGAGGAACACCGGUGGCGAAGGCGGGUCUCUGGGCAAUAACUGACGCUGGAGGAGCGAAAGCGUGGGGAGCAAACGGG